ACUCAAAUGAAUUGACGGGGGGCCGCACAAGCGGUGGAGCGUGUGGUUUAAUUCGACGCUAAGCGAAGAACCUUAUCCAAGGCUUGACAUCCCGGUCAUAUCCCGCGGAAACGCGGGAGUCGGUCCGGCCGGACCGGUGACAGGUGUUGCAUGGUCGUCGUCAGCUCGUGUCGUGAGAUGUUGGGUUAAGUCCCGCAACGAGCGCAACCCUCGUCGCGUGUUGUACUUUUCACGCGAGACUGCCUCGGUUAACGAGGAGGAAGGCGAGGACGACGUCAGAUCCGCAUGACCCUUAUGCCUUGGGCUACACACGCGCUACAAUGGCCGGCACAAUGGGCCGCGAAGUCGCGAGACGGAGCUAAUCCCAUCAAAGCCGGUCUCAGUUCGGAUUGGAGGCUGCAACUCGCCUCCAUGAAGUCGGAAUCGCUAGUAAUCGCGGAUCAGCACGCCGCGGUGAAUACGUUCUCGGCCCUUGUACACACCGCCCGU
This 489-nucleotide ribosomal RNA is filed under the name uncultured bacterium. Its description in RNAcentral is "partial 16S ribosomal RNA". It matches the Rfam family "Bacterial small subunit ribosomal RNA", at positions 899 to 1397 of the family's 1533-position model. The record is from RNAcentral.